GUUUACUUGUGUGUGGAUGGUGUUCAGCACCAGGGACAGGGUGUUUUUUGCCCGUGUGGAUGGUGUUCAGCUCCAAGGACAGGGUGUUUUUUG
RNAcentral lists this microRNA precursor (93 nucleotides) under Branchiostoma floridae (Florida lancelet). RNAcentral's name for it is "mir-2060 microRNA precursor family". It matches the Rfam family "mir-2060 microRNA precursor family". Lineage: Eukaryota; Metazoa; Chordata; Leptocardii; Amphioxiformes; Branchiostomatidae. The record is from Rfam by way of RNAcentral.